RNAcentral lists this ribosomal RNA (492 nucleotides) under uncultured bacterium. RNAcentral's name for it is "bacterial SSU rRNA". It matches the Rfam family "Bacterial small subunit ribosomal RNA", at positions 293 to 794 of the family's 1533-position model. The record is from RNAcentral.
CCCGCGCCCGGCCCGCCGCCCCCGCCCCCCUACGGGAGGCAGCAGUGGGGAAUUUUGGACAAUGGGCGCAAGCCUGAUCCAGCAAUGCCGCGUGCAGGAAGAAGGCCUUCGGGUUGUAAACUGCUUUUGUCAGGGAAGAAAUCUUCUGGGCUAAUACCCCGGGAGGAUGACGGUACCUGAAGAAUAAGCACCGGCUAAUUACGUGCCAGCAGCCGCGGUAAUACGUAGGGUGCGAGCGUUUAUCGGAAUUACUGGGCGUAAAGCGUGCGCCGGCGGCUUUGCAAGACAGAUGUGAAAUCCCCGGGCUCAACCUGGGAACUGCAUUUGUGACUGCAAGGCUAGAGUACGGCAGAGGGGGAUGGAAUUCCGCGUGUAGCAGUGAAAUGCGUAGAUAUGCGGAGGAACACCAAUGGCGAAGGCAAUCCCCUGGGCCUGUACUGACGCUCAUGCACGAAAGCGUGGGGAGCAAACAGGAUUAGAUACCCUGGUCGU